Vicugna pacos (alpaca) is the source of this 5469-nucleotide non-coding RNA. Lineage: Eukaryota; Metazoa; Chordata; Mammalia; Artiodactyla; Camelidae. The record is from RefSeq and is a predicted model, not a curated record.
CGGAGCCGCCGGGGUGCUCGGGGCCGCCCUUCUCCCGCGAAUGUUCCUCUGCCGAGCGCAACUAGGGGCACUCGGUCAGAGCCGGAGCUCUGCAGCCCAGCCGCUGUGUGCAGCCCUGGCGAGAUCUCCAGGUUAGCGGCAGACGCGUAGCGUUCAUGUAGGAUCCGGGGCAGCUCCGGCGUGCGGGCUGAGAGAUGCCCUGGUUGGGUAGGUUUUGGCCAAGCCAUUACUGCUAAGAUACAGACCCGAAGGGCAGCGGCAACCAAACGCCAGCUAGAACUGGUUUUUCCCUCUGCGUCCCCCUUCCAAGGUUCCUUUUUAUAUUUAUGUAUGCGUAUAUGUAUAGAUGAAAGAUGGAACACAGAUUUCAUUGAAUAAAUCCGAGAUCUCCAGGUGCAGACGUUUGAGUCGUCGGUGCCAGCACCCCGUGUUUUCCUUUCCUGCCGACUUUGCUUGGAUCCGGCUCAAAAACCGGGAGAGUCUCGUGGUUUUGUUUACACUGAAUGGGGAGGAUAGGAACAGAGCCAUGGGGCCCUUUCAUUAAUAUACAGUGAGGAUUUUGUCUAAAUUACUGCUAUGAAUUUCACAGUACACGCUUUCAAAAACAGCCUCAGGUGGCCUGGUGAAACGUGAUACAGCGCCUCUGUAGACACAUUCACUUUCUUUCUUUCUUUUCAGGGAGGGUGUGUGCGCGUCCGGGAAGCCCCCCAAAACGCCGUGCUCCUCGAAAUCAGAAAUAUCCUUCUGUUCCGAGGUCUGUCCCCUUCGUCCUCCCCCUCCGCGUACUUAGUUCUGCACUCGCUCCCCAGCCCCACCCAUCCGCCCCCUCCCUUUGCCGACUGUGAUUGUUUUGUCUGGAAAAAAAAAUCCAAAGUAUAUAACAAGGGGAGAACAGUUAGUGCUGAUUUUCAUUUGCAUACAUUUUCAUAUAUUUUGGUGAAAAUAAUAGACCAGCGGAGAGCUAGGCUUCGAGGAGUCAGUGUAAGGGGAAGACUAAGGCGGCCGCGUUCUGGUUCUGGGGAGUUGAGACCAUGCCUUCCCCCUCAGUCAUCUUAUUUAAAAAAACAAUAAAACAUCAUUUAUUUUAAAGUAUAACCCUGGAAGUUUGCUCGUGCCUUUCAGGUCUUAAUCAAAGAACAUCUUUGUGAUCAGACUAAUCAGCAAUUAAUGGAUAAAGAAGCUACAACUCAGACAAGACAGGUGAGGAAACUGACAACUCAGAGAAGAUACUGACUGUCCUGCGGCCGCUCCCACCGAGCUGGGCCAUAUCAUUUUCAAAGCUCGCUGUUGGGGUGGGAGCCACCGAAGCUGAAAUGGCCUGAAAGUGGAAACUUUUCUUGGGAGUUGAAUAGUCAGUGGAAUAUUCAUAGAAACGUAACAUGACACAGGAUGCUGAGCCGGUGUCUAAACUUUGUUCCAAACCAUAUUUGCUGUUUGUAAAACUGGCCCCUCAGGGACCAGAUGGGGAUAAGGAAUUCUACUCAUCUGUAGUUAAUCUAAGAAUUAACAUUUAGCAAAUUACUGCCUCAGUGCCUGAAAUGAGGUAUGUGUCUGGUGGCUCCAUUGAUUAGAACCCUGUGCUAAUGAGGUCACCAGCAGGAGUCUGCAACUCACCAGGUGACCGGAGCUGAGUUCUGGGCUGUCACUGGCCUCCGUGCUGACUAGGACAGAGGAGCCCCAGGGAGCCCCUGAGAGCACACUUGGGCCCCGCAGGAUACUGAGCUCAUCGCCACCUCACACUUAGAUGACGGGGAAGCCUUGCCUUCUUGGCGCACAGGACCCUGAGAACAGGGACUGUAUGAAGAACAUUCAGAAGUGGGGUCCUAGUCUUUACCAUCGCCCAUCGCCCAGAUGAGGAGACAGCCUCGGAGAAGUGGAAGACGCUCGGCAAAGCCACCUCCCUGUGCGCAGUUCCUGGGACCUUUGUCUCUGUUCUGGUGACCUUUCCGUGAGCCCAGGGACAGUGAUGGCCACAGUGACCUCAGGGAGUUGCUUGGGCUCUUUUCCUUGGCUCCCGGGGGCUCCUGCUGCAGGGAACAGGAAGGAGCCUGUGGGUGGUCAGGGGGUUCCUAUUACUCUGUGGGGCAGCCAGGCCCCCGAUCUGUGUCUUCCCACCAGGUAGACAGGCUCAGCCCCCGAUCUCACUCUCUGACCACCGAGUAUCCACAUCUCGGACCUCACCAGGGCUCCCACAUCUUGAGACUUGGGAGCAGCCAGGGAGAUCAAUGGACGGUCCAGCUUCCUCCUCCUGUCCCAACACUUAACAAUGUGGGCUGUGAUGACUGUGGACAUGCUGCUUCUACAAAUUAGCAUCUGGGUCCUCUGUCCUCCUGGAGUCCUUGCCUGUUCCCCUCCUGCUCCUUGAACUUGUCUCCCAGGGAGUUGGCAAUGAUGGCUAGGACCACCCCUGUUGUCUGAGGUCCAUCUGGGUGCACCCGCUUUUGGGGGGACACACAUGUGGCACUCAGACAGGCUCGUGUAGCUCUCUGGCCACCUUGGGUUCCACACUUCCUGGCAGGAUCCCACUGGGAACUCUUUGGGGCCAAACUUUUCUUUUGCAACUUAAUCAUCGGCACGUGGGCUACAGCGCUCCCUGCCUGAGCCUGACUGGAUGGAACUCAUCAGCUCUGAGUUCCAGCUCUGGAGAAUGGCAGCUGCUGGAAGAGAACAACUGCAUGUGAAGGGUGAGUGCUCCAGAUCCCUGCUGCCAGGGGGUGUUUCUCAGGGGACAGUGGAAGACGAGGGACAUGAGGGCCUGGAUAGAGCUGGAAUCCAGAGUUGUCAGGACCCGGCCUCUAAGAGGAAGGGCUGAAAUCAUGUUGACAUUAAGGCUUUUCUCCAGUCCUAGGGUUUGGCAAACAAAGGCCCACAGGGGGCAUCUGACCUGUUGCCUCUUUUUGUAAGUUAAGAUUUAUGGGACCACAGCCACGCCCACCUGUGCAUAUGUGGUCUGCUGCUGCCUUUGCACUGCAGCGUGGAGCAGCAGUGACAGAAUGUACCAUCCAAGAGGCCAAAGAGGUUGACUCUUGGGUUCUUUACAGAACAAGUUUGCUGACUCUUGAUAUAAGCCAUCCAGUGAAUGCGCUGAGUGUCUGCUAAAUAUCUACUCCACGCUGAGACACAUGUGCGCAGGGAUGCUCAGAGUGGCCCUCAUUGGAUGGGAGGCUGAUGGUCUUUAGUAACUUGCUUGUGUCACAGGUGUCCAGGACAGGUGUGUAGGUAUCAGGGAGUAAGAAGGAUUUGGUGGAAGAAGUCGUGGUUUGAGAAAAUGUUCUGCCGUGAUUGUCUUGGUGGCAAGUCGUGGAUCAUGGCUGGGCUCUUCCUUUGUCCGCUACCGGGAGGAGAUGCUGACACAGCUGGAACUUCUGUCUUGGGGUGCACCUUUAUUAACUACUUCAAGACCUACAGCCAAUAUGUGGACUUCUGGUUCCAGGCCAAAAGAUGGGCACCUUCUUCCACCAGUUGGUGGUUGGGUGGGUCAAGCAAGAGGAUGUGAAUCUAAGUGUUUUCUGGGCCACAAGGUGCUGUGUUUGUGGCCUAGACAUUAUCUAUAAAAACAUUAGGAUGAGUGUUGUCUCUUUUGGCACAUGAGGACAUGCAGCCCAUCCAAUAUCAAAGAGCAAAGCCAGUGGCAGAACAGGAAGCUCAGUCUCUUGGUUUCAGUCGCUGCUCUUUCCAGGGCACUGUGUGAUUCUGUAAGUCAUGCUUCUUUCCACGGCAUCAGGAAUGCUCAGUUCUUUAGUCCACAUGUUCCUUCCUUCCUUCACUCACUAGUCAACACUAUCUAAGAGCCUGCUGUGAACUGGAAAAGGGGCUGAAUUUUUCAGGGAGAGCGAUGACUGUAUAAAGAGUUGGAAGACUCAGAAUAAUUUUGUUCUUGGACUCCUAAGGCUGCCGUCCUCCAGAAAUACAUAGAUUUCUCCCGUGCUGCCCAAGUGGUUGGUCCUUACCUGUGACACGAAGAAAGAGAGUAGGUGGUGUGGGGGAGGGGGAGUAAUCCUGUCACUCAACAAACUGUUGCCUGAGAUGUUGUUCUGGGUAGUGUGUGUGUGCGUGUGCGUGCACAUGUGUGCGCAUGCACGUACGUACCAAGAAAGAGGAUGAGAGAUACUGAAAUGUCACUAGCAGAUUGUACCAGCAGCUAAAGGAUGGAGACAAUCUAGGUUUGGAAGAUUUGAAAGUUAGGCUUUUGUACAGAAAGUCCAAGGGAAUCCACAUCAGAGACAUUUUCAAGUAUCAACUGUCAAAUUAAUCGAGUCUAUUAAACCUGCCAGCUGUGAUUUCCUUUACUAUACUGUUCCAGAUGGUCUUCGUUCAGAUUAUAUUCUUUCAAUGAUGUCUCUUGUAACUUUGGAAGUGAUGAUUAUCAAAUGUGCCCAGAGGAAGCAGCUUCCACCAGAAUACUGAACCUGCCGUGUCGUGAUAGGGGAAGGGGAAGUUCUUGAAAGUUUCCGUGUUUGACACUUGCCCAUUUCAUGGGGAAGUUUGCCAAUAUUUCCCUCUCACUCAGAGUCAAUGUCGUUGGCUACUUAAGCUCUUCAAAUUCUGUGAAACUGAAAGUCAUAUGAUUCCCUGAAACAAGGUACCAGUGAAGUGGCCUCCUAAAGACAAAACAAAACAAAACCUUCCAGAACCUUCCAUCAUACAGCUGUCACCAGCAAAGCCCUCUGGGAGGUACACUAGAAAAUUCUGCCUCGUUCUCUUCCUUCUCCUGCGUCAGUCAGUCACGACCCUGCGGACUGAAUCUGGAGGUGGUGGCAUCUGAUUCUGCGAGUCAGCUUUGGGUCCGUGCUACCUCUCCGAUAGGUCCAGGACCCAGGACACUGCUGUUGUAACAAACGUAAUUUGUUUCAGCACAAAACGUGUGUUCAUUGCAGGUCUUAACACAGAUACAGAUAACGCUUCUCAUCUCUAAGAAAUUUGUAAGCAUUAACUAAUUCAUUUAACUUUCUUUCAGUGAAGUGAGUUUUCUUCCGUUUGCUGUGGGAAAACCCUUCUUUUUCUGAUUCUAAUCCUUGAGCAGGUAUUCUACUGGAAAUGUUUUGUAGAGGGGAAAUAAAUCUUUCAACACAGCGUAAAAUUCCACUGAAACAGACGACUUCCAAUUCCUCAGCGUAUAAGCCGGUUUUUAAGCGAUUAAGCAACGCUCUGGGGAAAAAACUUAAAUCUCGCUGAAAACUGCGGGAACCCUUACUGUGUUGUUACCACCGCUGUCACCACCACGCCUGUGUGCAGAGUUCUUAAUGGUUCACAUCUACGACUUUGUGGGAGAACAGAGAGCUGGAGGAAGGGUUCCCGUGCUGUCUCCUCAGUGGAGAGUGCAAUCCAAGUGUAGGAUGUGACUAAGGAUCUAGAGAUGGCGAGAUUACUUUGGAUUAUCUGGGUAGGUCCUAAAUCUAACUGUAACUAUUCCUUUUUUCUUAGAUUUAAUUUUUAUUGAAGUGUGCUUGAUAUACAAUGUUAGUUUCA